This 212-nucleotide ribosomal RNA is filed under the name Escherichia coli. Its description in RNAcentral is "partial 16S ribosomal RNA". It matches the Rfam family "Bacterial small subunit ribosomal RNA", at positions 1334 to 1533 of the family's 1533-position model. Lineage: Bacteria; Pseudomonadati; Pseudomonadota; Gammaproteobacteria; Enterobacterales; Enterobacteriaceae. The record is from RNAcentral. RNAcentral also lists the same sequence under 4 other names.
GCUAGUAAUCGUGGAUCAGAAUGCCACGGUGAAUACGUUCCCGGGCCUUGUACACACCGCCCGUCACACCAUGGGAGUGGGUUGCAAAAGAAGUAGGUAGCUUAACCUUCGGGAGGGCGCUUACCACUUUGUGAUUCAUGACUGGGGUGAAGUCGUAACAAGGUAACCGUAGGGGAACCUGCGGUUGGAUCACCUCCUUACCUUAAAGAAGC